RNAcentral lists this unclassified non-coding RNA (539 nucleotides) under Hevea brasiliensis (rubber tree). The record is from RNAcentral. Lineage: Eukaryota; Viridiplantae; Streptophyta; Magnoliopsida; Malpighiales; Euphorbiaceae.
UUUUUUUUUUUUUUUUUAAUGUAUGGGAAUUUCCAUAUGGUUGUUAGUAGUUUCAGUUAUAAUAUUGUCCUUUUUAAUAACCUGUACUUUUUUUUUCUUCUUAAAAAUGGGUGUGAAUUGUAGGGUAAUAUACAUAUACAUUGAUGGCCUUCUUCUCUCCAAUUCCAUGGCUUUGGGUUCAAAUUUGAACUUUCCAAUCAAUAGCUGAUCGAUCACAUUAAUUAGGCAAAAAUUAAUUUUGUUCAUCUGAAUUUUAUUUAGGCAAUAUGUAUAAUUGCCAAAUAUUUUUGAAUUCUUUUUUAAGAGUAAAGAAAUCCUUUUUUUUUUUAAUUAAAGAAUAUUCAUACGAUAUUUAUAAUAAUAAAUAUUUGCAAUUGAAAAUAUUAUAAAAAAAUUAUUCUCCCAUAUCAUUAACAAUUGAGGUUCAAUUCACCAAAUAACUUUUUAAACAUUCCAUUACUAACUCAAAAAUAAUUAUUUCAAAUCAUUUUUUACUAUCACCUCUAUCGUUAAACUAAAUAUUUUAUCAAUAUAAACUG